RNAcentral lists this ribosomal RNA (660 nucleotides) under Triticum aestivum (bread wheat). RNAcentral's name for it is "partial small subunit ribosomal RNA". Lineage: Eukaryota; Viridiplantae; Streptophyta; Magnoliopsida; Poales; Poaceae. The record is from RNAcentral.
AUGGCGAUCCGGCGACAAUCAUCAGCAGCAGCUUCUCUACUCCUGCCGCCGGUGGCUGCUCUUCUGUUUCUAUGGAUGUUUGGCGGGGGGCAUGUGAUGGCACAUACUGAGAUUCGCAACAUGACGGCUCUCCAGAAACAUGUCUCCUUUUUCGACCGUAACAAGGAUGGCAUCAUCACUCCUUCGGAAACAUUUGAAGGGUCUGUCGCAAUUGGUUUUAAUGCUACAUAUGCCAGAGAAUUUGCCACCUUGGUGCAUGCUGCUAAUGGUCCUAUAACAAGCCCCGCUGAUGCACCAUUGCCUCACUUAUCAAUAUACAUAGAGAAUAUGCACAGAGGAAUGCAUGGGAGUGAUACCGGUGCAUUUGAUGUUAAAGGAAGGUUUGUUCCACAAAAGUUUGAGGAAAUAUUCAUAAAGCAUGCAAAAACUAGACCAGAUGGUUUGACAUAUUUGGAGAUGGAGGAUAUGAUCCUAGCAAAUCGAGAUCCACUGGACCCUGCAUCAUGGGAGGGACCUCAAAUAGAAUGGGGCGGAAUAUACAACGUCGCGAGUGACAAUGAUGGAUUCCUUCAUAAGGACAAUGCGAGAGGUAUAUACGACGGAAGUGUGUUUGUAAAGCUGGAGGAAAAGAGGGCCUUUUCUCAUCAUAGUGCAAUGUAA